UAAUACGUAGGGGGCAAGCGUUGUCCGGAAUCAUUGGGCGUAAAGAGCGCGUAGGCGGCCCUGUAAGUCCGCUGUGAAAGUCAAGGGCUCAACCCUUGAAUGCCGGUGGAUACUGCAGGGCUAGAGUCCGGAAGAGGCGAGUGGAAUUCCUGGUGUAGCGGUGAAAUGCGCAGAUAUCAGGAGGAACACCGAUGGCGAAGGCAGCUCGCUGGGACGGUACUGACGCUGAGGCGCGAAAGCGUGGGGAGCAAACAGGAUUAGAUACCCUGGUAGUCCACGCCGUAAACGAUGGGCACUAGGUGUGGGAGGUGUCGACUCCUCCCGUGCCGAAGCUAACGCAUUAAGUGCCCCGCCUGGGGAGUACGGCCGCAAGGCUA
This 377-nucleotide ribosomal RNA is filed under the name uncultured bacterium. RNAcentral describes it as "bacterial SSU rRNA". It matches the Rfam family "Bacterial small subunit ribosomal RNA", at positions 521 to 896 of the family's 1533-position model. The record is from RNAcentral.